AGCAGCAGCCGCGGUAAUACGAAGGGUGCAAGCGUUACUCGGAAUUACUGGGCGUAAAGCGUGCGUAGGUGGUGGUUUAAGUCCGUUGUGAAAGCCCUGGGCUCAACCUGGGAAUUGCAGUGGAUACUGGGUCACUAGAGUGUGGUAGAGGAUAGUGGAAUUUCCGGUGUAGCAGUGAAAUGCGUAGAGAUCGGAAGGAACAUCUGUGGCGAAGGCGACUAUCUGGGCCAACACUGACACUGAGGCACGAAAGCGUGGGGAGCAAACAGGAUUAGAGACCCCGGUAGUCCCUGUCUCUUAUAC
This 303-nucleotide ribosomal RNA is filed under the name uncultured bacterium. Its description in RNAcentral is "partial 16S ribosomal RNA". It matches the Rfam family "Bacterial small subunit ribosomal RNA", at positions 507 to 807 of the family's 1533-position model. The record is from RNAcentral.